AUCCAGCUGACGAGUCCCAAAUAGGAAAAAACUCGUGUUCUGGAU
Molecule: non-coding RNA, 45 nt
Organism: Schistosoma haematobium
Lineage: Eukaryota; Metazoa; Platyhelminthes; Trematoda; Strigeidida; Schistosomatidae
Source: Rfam